UGUUAGUCGAGCGAACUGACGAGGAGCUUGCUCCUUUGACGUUAGCGGCGGACGGGUGAGUAACACGUGGGUAACCUACCUAUAAGACUGGAAUAACUCCGGGAAACCGGGGCUAAUGCCGGAUAACAUAUCGAACCGCAUGGUUCGAUAGUGAAAGACGGUCUUGCUGUCACUUAUAGAUGGACCCGCGCCGUAUUAGCUAGUUGGUGAGGUAACGGCUCACCAAGGCAACGAUACGUAGCCGACCUGAGAGGGUGAUCGGCCACACUGGAACUGAGACACGGUCCAGACUCCUACGGGAGGCAGCAGUAGGGAAUCUUCCGCAAUGGGCGAAAGCCUGACGGAGCAACGCCGCGUGAGUGAUGAAGGUCUUCGGAUCGUAAAGCUCUGUUGUUAGGGAAGAACAAAUGUGUAAGUAACUGUGCACAUCUUGACGGUACCUAACCAGAAAGCCACGGCUAACUACGUGCCAGCAGCCGCGGUAAUACGUAGGUGGCAAGCGUUAUCCGGAAUUAUUGGGCGUAAAGCGCGCGUAGGCGGUUUUUUAAGUCUGAUGUGAAAGCCCACGGCUCAACCGUGGAGGGUCAUUGGAAACUGGAAAACUUGAGUGCAGAAGAGGAAAGUGGAAUUCCAUGUGUAGCGGUGAAAUGCGCAGAGAUAUGGAGGAACACCAGUGGCGAAGGCGGCUUUCUGGUCUGUAACUGACGCUGAUGUGCGAAAGCGUGGGGAUCAAACAGGAUUAGAUACCCUGGUAGUCCACGCCGUAAACGAUGAGUGCUAAGUGGUUAGGGGGUUUCCGCCCCUUAGUGCUGCAGCUAACGCAUUAAGCACUCCGCCUGGGGGAGUACGGUCGCAAGACUGAAACUCAAAGGAAUUGACGGGGACCCGCACAAGCGGUGGAACAUGUGGUUUAAUUCGAAGCAACGCGAAAACCUUACCAAUCUU
Molecule: ribosomal RNA, 945 nt
Filed under: Staphylococcus chromogenes
Lineage: Bacteria; Bacillati; Bacillota; Bacilli; Caryophanales; Staphylococcaceae
Description: bacterial SSU rRNA
Rfam family: Bacterial small subunit ribosomal RNA
Source: RNAcentral